This 447-nucleotide ribosomal RNA is filed under the name uncultured bacterium. RNAcentral describes it as "bacterial SSU rRNA". It matches the Rfam family "Bacterial small subunit ribosomal RNA", at positions 355 to 825 of the family's 1533-position model. The record is from RNAcentral.
UGGGGAAUCUUGGACAAUGGGCGCAAGCCUGAUCCAGCCAUGCCGCGUGAGUGAAGAAGGCCUUCGGGUUGUAAAGCUCUUUUACCAGGGACGAUAAUGACGGUACCUGGAGAAUAAGCCCCGGCAAACUUCGUGCCAGCAGCCGCGGUAAUACGAAGGGGGCUAGCGUUGUUCGGAAUUACUGGGCGUAAAGCGCACGUAGGCGGAUUGUUAAGUCAGAGGUGAAAUCCCGGAGAUCAACUUCGGAACUGCCUUUGAUACUGGCAAUCUAGAGUCCGGAAGAGGUUAGUGGAAUUCCCAGUGUAGAGGUGAAAUUCGUAGAUAUUGGGAAGAACACCAGUGGCGAAGGCGGCUAACUGGUCCGGUACUGACGCUGAGGUGCGAAAGCGUGGGGAGCAAACAGGAUUAGAUACCCCAGUAGUCCCUGAGCGGGCUGGCAAGGCGCAU